AGUGAACGCUGGCGGUAGGCCUAACACAUGCAAGUCGAACGGCAGCACAGUAAGAGCUUGCUCUUACGGGUGGCGAGUGGCGGACGGGUGAGGAAUACAUCGGAAUCUACUUUUUCGUGGGGGAGAACGUAGGGAAACUUACGCUAAUACCGCAUACGACCUACGGGUGAAGGCAGGGGAUCUUCGGACCUUGCGCGAUUGAAUGAGCCGAUGUCGGAUUAGCUAGUUGGCGGGGCAAAGGCCCACCAAGGCGACGAUCCGUAGCUGGUCUGAGAGGAUGGUAAGCCACACUGGAACUGAGACACGGUCCAGACUCCUACGGGAGGCAGCAGUGGGGAGUAUUAGACAAUGGGCGCAAGCCUGAUCCAGCCAUACCGCGUGGGUGAAGAAGGCCUUCGGGUUGUAAAGCCCUUUUGUUGGGAAAGAAAAGCAGCAGGUUAAUACCCCGCUGUUCUGACGGUACCCAAAGAAUAAGCACCGGCUAACUUCGUG
Molecule: ribosomal RNA, 492 nt
Filed under: uncultured bacterium
Lineage: Bacteria
Description: partial 16S ribosomal RNA
Rfam family: Bacterial small subunit ribosomal RNA
Source: RNAcentral